RNAcentral lists this ribosomal RNA (485 nucleotides) under uncultured bacterium. RNAcentral's name for it is "bacterial SSU rRNA". It matches the Rfam family "Bacterial small subunit ribosomal RNA", at positions 29 to 512 of the family's 1533-position model. The record is from RNAcentral.
AAUAAACGCUGGCGGCGUGCUUAACACAUGCAAGUCGAGCGAGAAAGUUCCUUCGGGAGCGAGUACAGCGGCGGACGGGUGAGUAACGCGUGGGAAUCUGCCCUUCAGUGAAGAAUACCUUCGAGAAAUCGGAGCUAAUGCUGCAUACGUCCCUUCGGGGAGAAAGAUGGCCUCUUGCUGUCGCUGAUGGAUGAGCCUGCGUGCUAUUAGCUAGUUGGUGGGGUAAUGGCCUACCAAGGCAAUGAUGGCUAGCCGGCCUGAGAGGGUGUACGGCCACACUGGAACUUAGACACGGUCCAGACUCCUACGGGAGGCAGCAGUGGGGAAUAUUGCGCAAUGGGCGAAAGCCUGACGCAGCGACGCCGCGUGGAGGAUGAAGGUCUUAGGAUUGUAAACUUCUGUUAAGUGGGAAGAAAGACUUGUUCGUAAUAUGAACGAGGGAUGACGGUACCAUUAGAGAAAGCACCGGCUAACUUCGUGCCAGC